This is an RNA transcript of Lytechinus pictus (painted urchin), 5123 nucleotides long. It is a transcript of the gene named sodium- and chloride-dependent taurine transporter-like, with no coding region annotated. The record is from RefSeq and is a predicted model, not a curated record. NCBI's taxonomy places the organism in Eukaryota, Metazoa, Echinodermata, Echinoidea, Temnopleuroida, Toxopneustidae. The transcript is spliced from 12 exons.
CGGUAUUUCAUCUUGCAUCAUCGCUUGGUGGUGCAAUAUAUACUACAUCAUUAUCCUCGCAUGGGCGCUGUAUUAUCUUGUCAGUUCUUUCACCAGUGAAUUACCAUGGGUACACUGUGGCAAUAGUUGGAAUACGGAGUUUUGCGUAGAUUAUGAAUCUAAUUUUACCUGUGUAAAUGAGACUGUUUUCUCGAAUGACAGCCUGGUUGUACUUGAAGAGAUGGUGGUCGGUACAAAUUUUACAUGUGCUGAGAGGACGUCACCAGUCCAGGAAUUCUGGGAGCAUAAUGUACUUCAUUUAUCACCUGGUCUUGAUGAGAUGGGAUCAGUGGUUUGGCAUCUUGCUGUCUCUCUUCUAGUAGCUUGGAUUCUCUGUUAUUUCUGUAUCUGGAAAGGAGUCAAGUGGACAGGAAAGGUUGUCUAUUUUACUGCAACUUUCCCUUACGUGAUGCUGACUGUGUUGCUUAUACGAGGUGUGACUUUACCCGGGGCUGCUGAUGGCCUUUUGUUUUACGUCAAGCCCGAUCUAUCGCGCCUUACAGAUGGCCAGGUAUGGAUGGACAGUGGAACUCAGAUUUUCUACUCGUAUGCUGUUGGUUUAGGAGCUUGUAUAUCGCUCGGUAGUUAUAAUAAGUAUCAUCACAACGUAUACAGGGACAGUAUGAUUUUGGCUGGAGCAAACUCCUUCACGAGUUUAUACGGCGGAAUAGCAAUCUUCUCAGUUCUUGGAUACAUGUCUCAUGAACAGGGUGUUCCUAUUGACCAGGUGGCGUCUAAAGGUCCCGGUCUAGCUUUUAUAGCUUACCCCCGCGCUGUCGCAUUGAUGCCUCUUGCACCUUUAUGGGCUAUUCUGUUCUUUGUCAUGAUACUGAUGGUAGGAUUAGAUAGUCAAUUUGUUGCUGUUGAAGGUUUUGUAACUGCGCUAGGAGAUCUGUUCCCUACGUGGAUGCGUCGUCGGUAUCGUCGUGAACUCUUCGUGCUCGCUGUCUGCAUCGUUUCCUAUCUCAUAGGAUUAAUCAUGGUCAUGGAGGGCGGGAUGUAUGUCUUUCAAAUCUUUGAUACUUACGCGGUGAGUGGCAUCGCUCUACUCUGGAUUGCUUUCUUUGAAGGAAUAGCAGUAAGCUGGGUUUAUGGUGCCAAUCGAUUUUAUGACAACCUUGUCGAUAUGAUCGGUUAUCGACCGAUUCCAUGGUUCAAGUUCUGUUGGAUGAUAACCCUCCCCAUUAUGUCAGUGGUUAUCUGGAUCUUCAGCAUAGUGACUUGGGGUCCCAUGACGUAUGAUAAGUACGAGUAUCCAAUAUAUGCUGAAGCUAUAGGCUUCUUUAUGGCUCUCUCUUCUAUGGUGUGUAUUCCGAUUGUUAUGGUCUAUCAGAUAUUUACAGCUGAUGGUACUUUCUUAGAGGUAAGUGAAGUAGGCAGAGCAGGAUGCGUCCUAGAAAAAAAACCAAGGAUAAGUCUUUGUCAAAGAGCAUUGCUUUAAACAAUCUUUGGAUAUAUUGCCUGUUUGAGGUUUCAUUUUAAGGGUACAAAUUAUCUUUCUCGAAAUCACUUUUUUGUACCCUCUUUAAAAUUUUCUCUUUUACUCUCACAUUGAAGUCCGUAUAUAGACGUACGGAAAGGAUUCUGAAAAAAAAGUUAAAUGUUUCAUAUUAUUAUUAUCAUUACCAUUAUAAUAAGUUAAAGAAGAAACAUCCCUCCGAGUUGGUACUAAAUAGCUAUUUUUUUUAAAGAGUAGUCAGUCUCUCAAGCCGCUGGUGCUUUCUUCUUUGCUUUUUCAAUUUGCUUACAGACAUAUUAUUCAAAUUUAAAUCUUAAUUAAUUUUUUUGUUUUCAGAAUCCUGUCGGAUUUCAGAUAUUGAAGGAUUUCUUUUAGCGGGCGAAUUUAUUUUAUAUACUUUGUUUAUUUGUGUUAAACAUUUAUGAGCUGUAUGGUUUACUUGUUAGAUAAGAAUUAUCAUGCAGACUUACCUUUUAAAUAAUUUGAAAAGUAUCUACUAUGCAAAUGCUCCUUGGGAGUUUGACCACUUCAACUAUAUCAAGUCGUGGCUUUUGAGGCUUUCUAUCGCUGCUGGCAGCUAUUUGUCAGAUUUUGUUCCUUUUUGUACUGAGGGUGAAUAUCAUGCCUGUUUGCGCCGCAAAGAGAGGAGAAAAUGAGACUGUUUCGGCAAAAAUUGUAUUGUAAUACUAUGAAUAUAUUUUGUUUUAUAUUACUGCUACAUAUUGACGAUGUAUUGCAUAUAUUACUGCUAUUUAUGACCCUCCUAUGGUUAUGGUUUGCAAUUCUUUCUUAUUCUAAAGACUACAGGGUUAAUGCUCUUUUUGUAAUAAAUUUAUGAAUGUCUCUUAGUUGUAAUUUUGUACGGAAUACGUAUACAAAUUAAAUCAUGGCAACAUGAGCACAAUGAAGAGGUGUGUCAUAUAAAAAUCGAUACAGCCAUUCAAAGCAAUAUUACACUCUAUGUAAUCUUAUAAUCUCAGGUUUUUCCCUAUUUGGUCUUCUUCCUUUAUCUUCAUAAUUCUGAAAUAUGUAGUUGUAGUGUAAAUCAUAUAUAAAUCAAACUGAAAUUCAUAACAUGAGUUCAGUUCGUAAAUUUUGAAGAGAAUUUUAGACAUCAAUGGCUCGCCUACCUCUGUCUAUAUGAGAUUUCAAAGGAUAAAUUUUCAGUUUCUCCGUUCUCUGAAAAUAUUGCGUAGACUUACAAUUAACGUAGAAAUGAAUUAAGGACGAUAUUUCAUGGAAUUUCGUGUUAAUCGUGUUAUGGUACUAUUGGAAGCGUCGUGAUGUGAGCGGUUCGGACGCUCGCCUUGCAAUCAGAGGGUCGUGUGUUCGAACCCCACCGCGGUCUAGCGUCCUCUAGCAAGGCGUCAAUUCACACUUUUGCCACUCUCCACCCAGCUGUUAAAUGUGUGCCCGGCGGUAGGCUGUAAAGCCUGUAUAAUUAUGUAGUAUGCUUAUUAACUGAGUUUUUGAACUCUUAUUGGAAUGCUCCCCAGGGAGUGGAGAAAGUACUUUUUAAAAUUUUGUUUUCGAUUUCAGCAUUUCAACGGAUAUGAGAAAGUGCAUAUAUUGUGUGAGCGAAUGCCAUGAUCCGAUGACCGGGUAAUAAAUGCAAUGUAAAGCACUUAGAAACUAACUAUACAUGCGGUAUAAAUGUAAUUAUAUAGGUAUUUCUAAAUGUACAAAGUCAGUCAUAUCCGUUGAAAAACUAAAACUGAUAACAAAAUAUUAAAAAAAUUAAUGGUGAAUUAAUCAUGGACUAAAAAUAUUAUAUUACCAUGUACCUUCAGGCAGUUGAAAAAAAUAAUUCAGGUAUCAUUUUGUUUAUGUUUAUCAAAUUUAACAUCUCAAUUUAAUCGUAACGAUGAAUUUUGUUUUAGUAGUAUUUUCUGCAUUUGCUCUAUUAUAGAGUAAAAGGGAAUUUCUAAGAAUUUUAUUUAUUUAGAAUUUAGGAGAUUGUUUAGAGUGUGUAAUUUCAUUUGAUUGCUGCAAUUUUUCUACCUUUUAUACGAAAACGUUUUGUUGAAUGUUGGUGAUUCUUGACUUGGUAUAGACUCAACUUAAAAGAAAAUUCUUAUAGUUUGAAUGUAGUGAAAGUUCACCCCAACAUUGGGCCAAUUUUAACAUGUUUAGUUAAAAGCAGAAAAAUGAAGGGAAGAAACCUUCAGAUAAUGUGUAUAUGUCCACUAAUCAUGCUGAAGUUUCUUCAGCUAAGGUGUAUAUGUCCACCGUACACUGCAAAAAAGCCGGUGUUAAUUCAACACCGGCCUGGUAUCUAUAUCAGUCCACACCAGAGAAAUGUUGAAACAACACCAGUUAAGAAAUCAAACCGAUAUGGUUUGACACUAAUUGGUGUUAAAAAUGCCAAAUUGGUGUUAGCCUAAUGCCAAACCGGUGGUGUUUCAACACCUCUCUGGUGUGGACCGAUAUAGAUACCAGGUUGGUAUCAAAUUAACACCGGUGUUUUUGCAGUGUAAUCAUGCUGAAGUUUCUCAGCCAUGUGUAGUUGAGCAUGCGAGAGGCUGUUAUAAAUAUGAAGCGAACGGUGGUGGUGAUGAUGUAGAAAUAUAGUCUUAAAAGGUUUUUUUUUUGUUAAGUGUUUGUCGGAAUUGGUAUAUUAUCGAACCCAUAUUUAGUUUUGGAAAUCAUUUAAUCAUUUUUGCAGGAAAAAAACAGUGGCAGUAGGAUCCCAGUAUGAAGAUGAUUUCACUCUGUGGUCCCGGGCUGUGGUCACUUUACAGUUUACAGUGUGGGUAUUUACAAUGUAUGCACAUAGUGGUCUAUGUGAAGAUAUGAUAUAUACUCUUUAAGGGGAAUCCAACCCAAAUAAAUAGUUUAUCGGAAGAAGUAAAUCAGACAAAUUAUGGGUGAAAGUUUUGAUAAAAUCGGACAAACUAUAUGAGAAAGUUCUGAAUUGUUAAAAGUUGUAAAAAUUGGCAAUCGCUAUACCCAUAAAGACUUCAAAUUGGUCGCAUUUGUGAUGUCAUGGUGAUAUAAACUGUUUUUUUUUCAAAAUUUUUAUUUCAAAUUAUAUUUUUCUUUCAUGAAGAUAUAAAGCAUUAUUUGGAUUACUGCCCCAGGGGAAUAAGUACUUAAGAAAAAACCACAAAUCCUUUAUAAUUACGUACGGCCUAUGAGAAAGUUGUCCUUCUCACUUGUCAUAAUUUACUUACCCAAUUGAAAUUUAACCAAAGUUUGGGGUUCUCAAUUUUAAAUCAGUCAUAACUUUCUUAUUGCUUGUCCGAUUUCUUUCAAACUUUCACCAUACUGGUAAACUUAUUUUCUCCUUUCCCACACGACAUUUUAUGACCACGUUUGGAAUUCCCUUUAAAAUGUUUAAACAGCUUCAUUAUUUGACAUCACACCAUAUGAACACAUCUAUACAUUAUGGGUGUUCACAUUGUGUUCACAUGAUGGUAGACUCUGCGAAAAUAUUCAUAAUGAACAAUGUGAAGCUUAAUUCACUUUGUGGUUCACACUAUAGCUGUUCACACACUUUGGAGGGCACAGUGUGUGAAGCUGUUCUAUCCACGGUCUUCCCAUCAGGGAUUUUUCAUCUUAAAUAUAGUAUACGUGUUUAUGUGGGUAAGUUUUACAAUUAAAAUGUCAAGAAUAAUACAAAACA